CAACAAUCAUCAUUCUGAAUCAGCUCCUAUGGAGAAGGAAGCAGAAAAGUUAGGGCGGCAAUGCUGGCUGAUCUACGCUUACGGAACAGGAUGCCAAAGAAGAAAACUACAACUGCCCCAGAACGCAGCAAAUCAACUAACAACUCGAACCGAAACAG
This is a long non-coding RNA of Nilaparvata lugens (brown planthopper), 158 nucleotides long. RefSeq lists it as uncharacterized. The record is from RefSeq and is a predicted model, not a curated record. Lineage: Eukaryota; Metazoa; Arthropoda; Insecta; Hemiptera; Delphacidae. The transcript has 2 exons.